This 468-nucleotide ribosomal RNA is filed under the name uncultured bacterium. Its description in RNAcentral is "partial 16S ribosomal RNA". It matches the Rfam family "Bacterial small subunit ribosomal RNA", at positions 28 to 507 of the family's 1533-position model. The record is from RNAcentral.
GACGAACGCUGGCGGCGUGCUUAACACAUGCAAGUCGAACGGAAAGGCGCUGCUUUCGCGGGGUGCGCGAGGGGCGAACGGGUGAGUAACACGUGAGUAACCUGCCCUUUAGUUUGGGAUAACUUCAGGCAACUGGGGCUAAUACAGGAUAGGAGCUGCUGCAGCAUGGUGGGGGUUGGAAAGUUUCGGCGGAUGGGGAUGGACUGGCGGUUUAUGAGCUUGUUGGUGGGGUAGUGGCUAACCAAGGCUUUGACGGGUAGCCGGCCUGAGAGGGUGGCCAGCGACAAUAGUACUGAGGGAGGGCGCAGUCUGCUAUAGGAGGCAACGGGGGGGAAUAUUACACAGUGAGGGGGAGCGUGUUAAGACGGCGCCGCGUGCGGAAUGAACGCCUUCGGGUUAAGAACCGCUUUCGGCUGAGACGAUGCGGGAGUGACGGUAAUGGAUGAAUAAGCACCGGCUAACUACGUG